RNAcentral lists this microRNA precursor (79 nucleotides) under Xyrichtys novacula (pearly razorfish). The record is from RNAcentral. Lineage: Eukaryota; Metazoa; Chordata; Actinopteri; Labriformes; Labridae.
UCCACCAGGAGAGAUUUUGUCAGACAGGCAUGUGGAAGUUCUUCCACAUGCCUGUCUGACAAAAUCUCUCCUUUAGUAA